GGCCGCGGACGACCAGCCGUAGCCCCGCCGGCGCGGCCGGGCCAUGUUCAGCCGGAGCUCGCGGAGGAGGCUGUGCGGCCGCCCGUUGGCUGGACUGGGGCGGAUAGAGAGAGGCCAGCCGUGUGGCGCCUGCGGUGACCAGUGCCCCGGGUUCGCCCUGCACAAAUGGAGAUUGUGUGGCCCAUGGGGCCUAAAAUAGUUCGUACCUGGCUCUCUACAGGGCACAUGUGCCCACCCCUGGUCCACACUGCCGUGCGAACAUGAAGUCGGCCCUCUUGGCUAGAAUAUAGGAGUCUGAGAGUCUUUUGGAGUCGGGGCUGGAAGAAACAUCCCUUCUGCACUGGACAAUAA
RNAcentral lists this long non-coding RNA (351 nucleotides) under Heterocephalus glaber (naked mole-rat). Its description in RNAcentral is "lncRNA (ENSHGLG00100047218.1)". Lineage: Eukaryota; Metazoa; Chordata; Mammalia; Rodentia; Bathyergidae. The record is from RNAcentral.